GUAUAAAAUUUGGUGAUUUACAAUAACUUAGCAAAUCGCAUAGUGAAAACUGGCGAUAAAUCAUUCAAGUUUCUGACCUAUCAGCUUUCGACGGUAUGGUAUUGGCUUACCGUGGCAGUGACGGUUAACGGGGGAUUAGGGUUCGAUUCCGGAGAGGGAGCCUGAGAAACGGCUACCACAUCUAAGGAAGGCAGCAGGCGCGCAAAUUACCCAAUUCUAACAGCAUGAGAGAGGUAGUGACAAGAAAUAACAAUACAAGGCAGUUAAAAUGCUUUGUAAUUGGAAUGAUAGAAAUUUAAACACUUUUUAAAGUAUCAAUUGGAGGGCAAGUCUGGUGCCAGCAGCCGCGGUAAUUCCAGCUUCAAUAGCGUAUAUUAAAAUUGUUGCAGUUAAAAAGCUCGUAGUUGAAUUUCUGUUAAAAAUAACCGGUCUGCUUUUUUAAUAAAAGCGGUAUCUUGGUGUGUUUUUAGCAAUAAUGUCCUUUGAAAUGUUUUUUACUUUAUUGUAAUAGAUUAUAUUC
RNAcentral lists this ribosomal RNA (520 nucleotides) under Hepatozoon felis. RNAcentral's name for it is "bacterial SSU rRNA". It matches the Rfam family "Eukaryotic small subunit ribosomal RNA", at positions 234 to 753 of the family's 1831-position model. Lineage: Eukaryota; Apicomplexa; Hepatozoidae. The record is from RNAcentral.